This 481-nucleotide ribosomal RNA is filed under the name uncultured bacterium. RNAcentral's name for it is "partial 16S ribosomal RNA". It matches the Rfam family "Bacterial small subunit ribosomal RNA", at positions 28 to 507 of the family's 1533-position model. The record is from RNAcentral.
GAUGAACGCUGGUGGCGUGCUUAACACAUGCAAGUCGAACGAAGCACUUUAUUUGAUUUCCUUCGGGACUGAUUAUUUUGUGACUGAGUGGCGGACGGGUGAGUAACGCGUGGGUAACCUGCCUUGUACAGGGGGAUAACAGUUGGAAACGGCUGCUAAUACCGCAUAAGCGCACAGCAUCGCAUGAUGCAGUGUGAAAAACUCCGGUGGUAUAAGAUGGACCCGCGUUGGAUUAGCUAGUUGGUGAGGUAACGGCCCACCAAGGCGACGAUCCAUAGCCGAGCUGGGAGGGUGACCCGGCACAAUGGGACUGAGACACGGCCCAAACUCCUACGGGAGGCAGGAGUGGGGAAUAUUGCACAAUGGGCGAAAGCCUGAUGCAGCGACGCCGCGUGAGCGAAGAAGUAUUUCGGGAUGUAAAGCUCUAUCAGCAGGGAAGAUAAUGACGGUACCUGACUAAGAAGCACCGGCUAAAUACGUG